GUACUUACUUGGUAGGGGCGAUACCAUGAUCACGAAGGUGGUUUCCCCAGGGCAAGGCUCACCCAUUGCACUUCGGUGUUCUGAUCCCUGCGAUUUCCCCAAAUGUGGGAAACUCGACUGCAUAAUUUGUGGUAGUGGGGGACUGCGUGUGCAUUCUCCCCUG
This is a small nuclear RNA of Suncus etruscus (white-toothed pygmy shrew), 163 nucleotides long. RefSeq annotates it as U1 spliceosomal RNA. NCBI's taxonomy places the organism in Eukaryota, Metazoa, Chordata, Mammalia, Eulipotyphla, Soricidae. The record is from RefSeq and is a predicted model, not a curated record. The transcript has a single exon.